This 467-nucleotide ribosomal RNA is filed under the name uncultured bacterium. Its description in RNAcentral is "partial 16S ribosomal RNA". It matches the Rfam family "Bacterial small subunit ribosomal RNA", at positions 28 to 507 of the family's 1533-position model. The record is from RNAcentral.
GACGAACGCUGGCGGCGUGCUUAACACAUGCAAGUCGAACGGAAAGGCUCCAGCUUGCUGGAGUACUCGAGUGGCGAACGGGUGAGUAACACGUGGGUAAUCUGCCCUGCACUCUGGGAUAAGCCUGGGAAACUGGGUCUAAUACUGGAUAUGACCUUUCUCCUUAUAGGGUUUGGUGGAAAGUUUUUCGGUGUAGGAUGAGCCCGCGGCCUAUCAGCUUGUUGGUGGGGUGAUGGCCUACCAAGGCGACGACGGGUAGCCGGCCUGAGAGGGUGAUCGGCCACAUUGGGACUGAGAUACGGCCCAGACUCCUACGGGAGGCAGCAGUGGGGAAUAUUGCACAAUGGGCGGAAGCCUGAUGCAGCGGCGCCGCGUGAGGGAUGACGGCCUUCGGGUUGUAAACCUCUUUCAGCAGGGACGAAGCGUAAGUGACGGUACCUGCAGAAGAAGCACCGGCUAACUAUGUG